RNAcentral lists this ribosomal RNA (497 nucleotides) under uncultured bacterium. RNAcentral describes it as "partial 16S ribosomal RNA". It matches the Rfam family "Bacterial small subunit ribosomal RNA", at positions 28 to 507 of the family's 1533-position model. The record is from RNAcentral.
GAUGAACGCUGGCGGCGUGCCUAAUACAUGCAAGUCGAGCGAACGGACGAGAAGCUUGCUUUUCUGAUGUUAGCGGCGGACGGGUGAGUAACACGUGGAUAACCUACCUAUAAGACUGGGAUAACUUUGGGAAACCGGAGCUAAUAUCGGAUAAUAUUUUGAACCGCAUGGUUCAAAAGUGAAAGACGGUCUUGCUGUCACUUAUAGAUGGAUCCGCGCUGCAUUAGCUAGUUGGUAAGGUAACGGCUUACCAAGGCAACGAUGCAUAGCCGACCUGAGAGGGUGAUCGGCCACACUGGAACUGAGACACGGUCCAGACUCCUACGGGAGGCAGCAGUAGGGAAUCUUCCGCAAUGGGCGAAAGCCUGACGGAGCAACGCCGCGUGAGUGAUGAAGGUCUUCGGAUCGUAAAACUCUGUUAUUAGGGAAGAACAUAUGUGUAAGUAACUGUGCACAUCUUGACGGUACCUAAUCAGAAAGCCACGGCUAACUACGUG